This 371-nucleotide long non-coding RNA is filed under the name Phoenix dactylifera (date palm). RNAcentral describes it as "long non-coding RNA (PDAC_LNC007665)". Lineage: Eukaryota; Viridiplantae; Streptophyta; Magnoliopsida; Arecales; Arecaceae. The record is from RNAcentral.
CUGUGUGGCAUACCAGUGUCUCCACACUCCUUGGUUAAGAGGACAACCAACGUAUAUGUCACACAAUGACCUAAUCUCGAUAAUGCUGUCGUCCUAGUAACAACAUAUCAUUUGGUCGCGAACAAGUUUAAGGACUCAAAGAUAAAUCCUUCUUUAUCAUAACAUAAGUCCUAAGGACUUCAUCAUAUAAGAGUUCAUUUGAAGAUGAAAUGAUGAAUAAUGCCAAAUAACACUUUAUUAAUUUGUCAAUUCAUUUACAAAAUUCAAUCAUCAAUAUGCUGACGAUUGACAUUUAGGAUACAUAUCCCAACACUGGACUUCAGGUAGGUUGGGGAGGUGGCCAGGAAGGGGUCCAACGGCGGCAGGCCGGU